GAUGAACGCUGGCGGCGUGCCUAAUACAUGCAAGUCGAGCGAACGGACGAGAAGCUUGCUUCUCUGAUGUUAGCGGCGGACGGGUGAGUAACACGUGGAUAACCUACCUAUAAGACUGGGAUAACUUCGGGAAACCGGAGCUAAUACCGGAUAAUAUUUUGAACCGCAUGGUUCAGAAGUGAAAGACGGUCUUGCUGUCACUUAUAGAUGGAUCCGCGCUGCAUUAGCCAGUUGGUAAGGUAACGGCUUACCAAGGCAACGAUGCAUAGCCGACCUGAGAGGGUGAUCGGCCACACUGGAACUGAGACACGGUCCAGACUCCUACGGGAGGCAGCAGUAGGGAAUCUUCCGCAAUGGGCGAAAGCCUGACGGAGCAACGCCGCGUGAGUGAUGAAGGUCUUCGGAUCGUAAAACUCUGUUAUUAGGGAAGAACAUAUGUGUAAGUAACUGUGCACAUCUUGACGGUACCUAAUCAGAAAGCCACGGCUAACUACGUG
RNAcentral lists this ribosomal RNA (497 nucleotides) under uncultured bacterium. RNAcentral's name for it is "partial 16S ribosomal RNA". It matches the Rfam family "Bacterial small subunit ribosomal RNA", at positions 28 to 507 of the family's 1533-position model. The record is from RNAcentral.